Rhinolophus ferrumequinum (greater horseshoe bat) is the source of this 728-nucleotide long non-coding RNA. RefSeq lists it as uncharacterized. NCBI's taxonomy places the organism in Eukaryota, Metazoa, Chordata, Mammalia, Chiroptera, Rhinolophidae. The transcript is spliced from 3 exons. The record is from RefSeq and is a predicted model, not a curated record.
AGUUUUGGGUACCCUCUCUAGUAAGAGAGCUGUACUUUCACUUUAAUAAAAAUCUUUGCUCCUCUACCUCUCCUUCCGAGUCUGCAUUCUUAUUCUUCAGGUACGUGAGUCUAUGAUCUCCGGGCACCAGACGCCAGAACACUGCAUCAUUUGAGGGCUUGCUCAGGAUUGAAAGAGAGCUUUCCUUCCUUCCAUCUCAUGCCAAGAACUGAGAAGUUGGUCUGGGACCUAUCCCCAUCAGACUUCCUCAGUUCCCUUCAGCGCAGACCAGCGUAGAGUUUGCAGAUUACCUACUGGCUGGCUUCGAUCGUUCAAGUGACUAUAACAACUGGAUCGUGGGAAAAGACCACCCACCUCCAGAUGGUCCUGAGUGUGGAACCUCACCUGGAUUUGCUCAUCUACUGGAGACGUUUAGAUAGACCUCUGGACCACACUAGCUGCCUGCCUCCUCAGCAUGAAGCAGCCAGAGCAGUCAUCGCCCUUAUACCCUAAUGGCAGUUAGAGUUAUGUCUUCAGAGAGGGGAUUGAGACAGGUUAAUUACCAUGUUGCUAGGUAAACAGGGAAGUCCUUGGUAGAAUAAACAAAGGCAGCCAUAUCUUAGAACUCCAGGCUCUGGAAUGAUUCAUUCACUCCAGGGCAACAAUGUAACAUUCUUCCAGGGAUAAAUGGGUUAUUUCUAAAUCCCUUUAGGCUGGACAAACAGAGUGAAUCUGAUAGACAAAAUGGA